RNAcentral lists this ribosomal RNA (500 nucleotides) under uncultured bacterium. RNAcentral describes it as "partial 16S ribosomal RNA". It matches the Rfam family "Bacterial small subunit ribosomal RNA", at positions 30 to 523 of the family's 1533-position model. The record is from RNAcentral.
AUUGAACGCUGGCGGCAUGCCUUACACAUGCAAGUCGAACGGCAGCACGGGAGCAAUCCUGGUGGCGAGUGGCGAACGGGUGAGUAAAGUAUCGGAACGUGCCCAGUCGUGGGGGAUAACGUAGCGAAAGUUACGCUAAUACCGCAUACGAUCUAUGGAUGAAAGCGGGGGAUCGCAAGACCUAGCGCGAUGGUAGCGGCCGAUAUCAGAAUAGGUAGUCGGUGGGGUAAAGGCUCACCAAGCCGACGAUCUGUAGCUGGUCUGAAAGGUCGACCAGCCACACUGGGACUGAGACACGGCCCAGACUCCUACGGGAGGCAGCAGUGGGGAAUUUUGGACAAUGGGCGAGAGCCUGAUCCGGCCAUGCCGCGUGCAGGAUGAAGGCCUUCGGGUUGUAAACUGCUUUUGUACGGAACGAAAAGGUUUGGGCUAAUAAGCUGAGCUCAUGACGGUACCGUAAGAAUAAGCACCGGCUAACUACGUGCCAGCAGCCGCCGUAA